This 305-nucleotide ribosomal RNA is filed under the name uncultured bacterium. RNAcentral describes it as "bacterial SSU rRNA". It matches the Rfam family "Bacterial small subunit ribosomal RNA", at positions 335 to 637 of the family's 1533-position model. The record is from RNAcentral.
AGUUGCCUCGGGACGCAGCAGUGAGGAAUAUUGGUCAAUGGCCGAAGGGCUGAACCAGCCAAGCCGCGUGAAGGAAUAAGGCCCUACGGGUCGUAAACUUCUUUAGUCAGGGAACAAAGGGAGCCACGCGUGGCGCUGCGAGUGUACCUGAAGAAUAAGCAUCGGCUAACUCCGUGCCAGCAGCCGCGGUAAUACGGAGGAUGCGAGCGCUAUCCGGAUUUAUUGGGUUUAAAGGGUGCGUAGGCGGUUUGUCAAGUCAGCGGUAAAAAUUCCGGGCUCAACCCGGUCCCGCCGUUGAAACUGGG